Molecule: long non-coding RNA, 1288 nt
Filed under: Sus scrofa (pig)
Lineage: Eukaryota; Metazoa; Chordata; Mammalia; Artiodactyla; Suidae
Description: lncRNA (ENSSSCG00070011556.1)
Source: RNAcentral
AGGACCGCGGCACUGACCGGAAGUGCCUUGCCGCGGAGCCUCUCGGAAGUUGUAGUUCUGCCGCAGUCCAGAGGCACCUACGCAGUGCAGGGGUGUCCGAGUGUGAUCUGCGCACUUCCGGACCCCAGGCUGGUCUUGCGGCGUCCAGCACUUCGGACCUGGUCGGUUCUGAGGUCUCCGCGGCACCUCGGACUGGUGGUUCCCUCGGCUGCCGGCUGCAGAGAGGGCACGUGUGACGGAAUCCACGCUGCAGAGCCAGGUUUUCUUAGUGUCUUUGCAAAGGCUUAGAAUCGGACCGUAGCUCAGGCGGCUCGGUCCUAUCUGCAUAUUCAAGCUUGUUUCUACCCCCAGAGAGUCUCGAGGCGGGAGCUGAGCCGCCAGCUGACGGUAAGUUCCCCGCAGGAGAGCAGCGCUUUGGCGAUCGGAAUUGGCCCCGGUCCUCGGAUCCCAGGCAUCCCCGAGUAGAGUCAGCCUCCUUCAGAAGGUGCCCUGGGGAGCAGGAAUCCCCCUGGAAGGAGGGCUCCCUCUCCAACACCUCUCGGUAGCUUAGGGUUGAAGUUGGAGCCUCACAAUAUGCCCCCCCCCGCCCCAAAGUGCCCCUAAAACAGUCCGGGUCCUGCUGACAGAACUGGGGUGCUGUCAUCGCCUCGGGAUCGUGUAGGAGUUGGUUUAGGGGAAGGUGUUGCAGGAGGAGAGGGCGUCUCCUGCUUUUAGGGUGUGAGAGGCAUACACGAGGAGGGAAGGGCCCCCCAUGGCUGUCAGAGGGCGACCCCCGCCACCGAUUUCUCUCCACUCGUAAGCGAGCGCUGGCUCCUUCUAGGCGUGCGUCUCGCUAGAGCUGGAGCCGGUCCCACCCCACCGUCCCCGCCACGUGUGACUUCCAGCGACAUGUAGCCCCCCACCCCCCGUAGCUGAGUCAAGGCCCAGAAGUUGCGUUCUUAACCUAAGAGUAUCUCGUUUUUCCUUCUCCGUUAAAGACGAAAGAAAAUGGGCGUGAGAGAGGCGCUCCGAGCCACCCAGCUCGCGCGCGCCGAGCCAGCACUACCCCCAGGGCUCCCGUCCGAGGAGGCGGGGCGGGGCCCUCACCGCUAAGCCCCGCCCCUCCCCUCCUCCACCCCCUCCGAGCUUCUCCCGGAUUUCCUCUCCUCCAGGGGCAGGAUCUUGAUAGGAGGUCAUGGAGAGAGAACCCAGUAAGAUGAUAUAUGUAUAUUUUUCUGAACUAUUUAAGUAUGAAACAAUGAGCACGUUUAUUGUUUAAGAAAUUAGCACAUGUAAAAACAAAUCCUAC